This 453-nucleotide ribosomal RNA is filed under the name uncultured Parabacteroides sp. RNAcentral describes it as "partial 16S ribosomal RNA". It matches the Rfam family "Bacterial small subunit ribosomal RNA", at positions 341 to 792 of the family's 1533-position model. Lineage: Bacteria; Pseudomonadati; Bacteroidota; Bacteroidia; Bacteroidales; Tannerellaceae. The record is from RNAcentral.
ACGGAAGGCAGCAGUGAGGAAUAUUGGUCAAUGGACGGAAGUCUGAACCAGCCAAGUCGCGUGAAGGAUGAAGGUAUUAUGUAUUGUAAGCUUCUUUAGCAGUGGAGUAAUAAGGGGAUCGCGAUCCCUGAUGCAAGUACACUGAGAAUAAGGAUCGGCUAACUCCGUGCCAGCAGCCGCGGUAAUACGGAGGAUCCGAGCGUUAUCCGGAUUUAUUGGGUUUAAAGGGUGCGCAGGCGGCUUUUUAAGUCAGUGGUUAAAUCGUGACGCUCAACGUCAUCACGCCAUUGAUACUGGAGAGCUUGAUUGCGGUCGAGGUUUGCGGAAUUCGUUGUGUAGCGGUGAAAUGCAUAGAUAUGACGAAGAACACCGAUUGCGUAGGCAGCAGACCAGGCCGUAAAUGACGCUCAUGCACGAAAGUGCGGGGAUCGAACAGGAUUAGAUACCCUGGUA